This 296-nucleotide long non-coding RNA is filed under the name Physcomitrium patens. RNAcentral describes it as "long non-coding RNA (PPAT_LNC011209)". Lineage: Eukaryota; Viridiplantae; Streptophyta; Bryopsida; Funariales; Funariaceae. The record is from RNAcentral.
UUCUUUUUUUUCUUAUCUAUUUGUAAGGCACAUGGUUUAAUUAUAUACUAAGAUGAGAUCUUGUGUUGAUCUCAAAGUAGUGGUUUCACCUAAUAAUUAAACCUUUCUCUUAAGUCAUACACAAGGUCCAAUUAAAUGCCAAAUUCAAAUCUCAUACUGAUCUUAAUACAGCGGAGUCACUUUUUAGUUGGAUCUAAUUCAAAAUUUAGAGAUUGGAAAACAAGGCUAAGGGUAGUAUAAGUAGUUAAAAAUUUUAACACAUGGCUACCAUAAAAAUUAGAUGGAUAAGUUAAAAG